GACAUGGUGACGUGGAAAGAUGAACAAAAAAAUGAAACAAAAAACGCACAAAAGCCGCAAAAGAAACAAAAAACACAAAAAAUAAUUUUUACAGAAAAGGCGCGAUUGCAGCUUUCAUCCUCCAUUUCCAAAUUACCAAAAUUGAAGCAGUCGUCAUCGCCGUAUUUCCAAAUUGUAGCUUUCCUCCUCCGGUGUAACAAAGAAAUUUCCAACUUGAAGUAGUGGCCGUCGCCGUAUUUCCAAAUUGAAACCAAUAUUGUAAACUUUUCGGCCAGAAGCUGCGAUACCCCUCAGUGAAGCUUUCUCCGGUGUAACAAAGAACUUUUCGAGUUGAAGCAAUCGUCGUCGCCGUCUUCAUAGAUUCGGCUGUGUAAGAAAGAGUCGUUUCCGGCUUCAAGUCGCCGGCUUCAUUAAUUGGAGUAGAUGACGGACAACGGCAAGGAAAAUUUGGAAGAGGUGGAUGAUGUGGUUUUAUUAGAGUCCGAAAAUGACAACAUUUUGGACAGUGAGAAAUUCAUAGAUGAUGGAAUUGUAGGAGUAAACAGUAUGAUUGUGCUCGAGAUGGGUAUGAAGUCCAAAGAUGAAAAAGAUAUGACAAAGUGUGUCAAUCAGUUGCUACACUUGCGGACAUGGCUGCAUGGAACGACGAGCAAACCCGUGACGUACUAUAGUGGAUAGAAUGCAAAUAAAAUAAAAAAAAAUUCAUUUAAGAUGACGAGGUCGAGUUGUGGAAGUAAUGACGUGUCUCAUCAUGUAUUUCAGACAGCGUCUGAUAGUGGAGCGUCACAACAUAUCGGCAAUUUAUGUAUUAAGGAUCCAAAAUGCAAUGUUCUAGUUAAAUGUCCUUGAUUCCUUUUAUAGUUACUCUGCCUUCUUACCUUCUGUGUCAAGAUUAUAUAUCAACUUUAAUUGUAUUGAUCUUGUGGUCAUUGCUCUUGUAAUGUUGCCUAGUGUGUCAUAGCAGCACCCAAAUUUUAAUCAAGCAGCAGCAUGUUCUGGUCUUUGAUUCA
Molecule: long non-coding RNA, 1010 nt
Organism: Olea europaea var. sylvestris
Lineage: Eukaryota; Viridiplantae; Streptophyta; Magnoliopsida; Lamiales; Oleaceae
Exons: 2
Source: RefSeq, a predicted model, not a curated record